This is a long non-coding RNA of Dreissena polymorpha, 2337 nucleotides long. RefSeq lists it as uncharacterized. The record is from RefSeq and is a predicted model, not a curated record. NCBI's taxonomy places the organism in Eukaryota, Metazoa, Mollusca, Bivalvia, Myida, Dreissenidae. The transcript is spliced from 2 exons.
GAUAUUGGUGAAUUUCGCAUGCAAUGAUCCCAGUUUUUGCCAUAAAAGUUACGCGUAACAAUAAUUAGAGACACAAAAUCAGCUGUCGUCACUUAGACUAAAAAUCAUGCAUUCCGACUUGACUGCGGCCAAUUUAGUCACCGCUUUAAACGGCCAUUUUAAGGCCUUUUCCCCCCUCCGAAUGCACUGAAAUUGCAUAUUCAUUGUGGAAAUAGUUUAAAUCUCAUGUGGAGAAAGUUUGAAAAGGAUAGGACAAAGUUGAGUUCCCUUAAAGGUUACAUUACACUAAAUCAUUGUGUAUCCCUCCGUGGUCCAUUCGAAAGUAGUGCUUAUUUCUAAAGAGUUCCUUUUCUCUUCUUGAAUAUAAGCCAUUUAACAAUGUGAGACAUGUCUUUUGUGGUUAUUUGUAAUAUCCUGUAUGUGUCUGGAGUACUUUGAUGCCUUGGAUUGGAAGCUAACUUAAAAGAUGGACUUUUGAGGGUGUGUUUUCUAUUGUGUGGGGCUUUUGUCGAAAUUAGGAUUCCGAAACACGUUUUUCAACGGUGGGUUCAUUCGACAGCGAUUUACUUUCUUAGAAGUUGCGAGACGGUAUGUUUUUGAUUGCAAUUAUUGGAAGAGGACAGAUCCAUCUUUAAAAUGAUACCAGGUUCGGAAAAAUUGAUACGUCGAAAAGGCAAGAAAAAUGCUGUGAAAGUUGUCAGUUUUAUAAUGGGACCCUAUGGGAAUCGGAAUUAGUGUAAUAUAACCUUAAAAAAGCACAUUUACUGCAAUGUCAAGGUCACAUUGAUUCGUCUGCAAUCGAGACAAGUAGAACAUGAAUUUUAAUGAAUGUUUUGAUGAUUUGGGUGCUAAAAUAGAUGAGAGAUGUCAAUAUUUUGGUUCAAAUGGAUGUUUUAGGUGGUUUUGGACUGUUCCGGAUGGGAGGGGGACCUGGUAUGGACAAGUAAGGGUUACAUUUCCAACAAAUCUUGAAUGUAAAUAUUAUUAUGUCCAAAGAUUGAAGUUUCAGGUGGAGAGCAAGAUGAAAAAUAUGCCAAAUCACAUGAAUGCAACCCAUUUAUGCCAUUUUUCUCUUUGUUUGUAGGCCUGACCAUUUGUCCCUUUUGCCGCAGACGGUCAACAAUCCGCUAGCUGUCUUGCUCUGACUGGUGCACUGGACAUGAUUUCAAUGAGAGUCAUCAUACUGAUUGUUUAAUUCAAACAUGAAUUUCAGUUUGUUCGUUAGAGUACUAACUUAGCUGUGUAUUUACAGUGGACGUAGUGGUGCGUCGCAUGCGGUAGACUAGGUAUUUCCAUAUAUACACUAUGUUUACAGAAUUGCGGCCGGUGAAGCAACAUAGCUGAUGAGUAAAUAGCGCUAGUUCUUCAGACAAAUAACUUUAUUUUCAACCUAUAAAGCAUAUUUAGCUGUAGGUGGGGCCAUUUAGCUGUAAGAUCUGGCUUUGGUUCUGUUAAGCCCUUAGAGUAAUGAAUUUCAGAGUGAAGACCAUAGCGCCUUUUCCUAGUCGAGUAUCGGGCAGCUGUAUGUCUUUUCAGAAAUGCACAUGUCUUCUUUAGUAUGUCAUUGUGAUUGCUUUUAAGAUAGGCAAUAAACUCAUAACCUUUAGAAAAAGGAGCAUCUGUAAAUUCAGAUUUCACUAUUUCAGAGUCAGCCAGACCAUGAUUGAGCUUAAGGAUUGUGCUGCGGAUGCGGCCUGUGCAGUUCCGGGAGAAAGUCACUGUCUUGGGCAUUGCGGUCUGGUAUCAGGUCUGGAUGAUCCUUGCCUGACUCCGGGUUUGUGUACACCUCAAUCCGACUCCCUGUCCGGUACCAUGGCCGCAGUGGUGCAGCCCUUGUGGACGAUCCAUCGACAUCCUGAAAGGUCAACACUUCACCAAGCUGGGAAAAUUGAUCCUGAUAGUCAUCCCCAGGUAGUGAAAUGAAUGUACACUGAACUACAGAGGAAUCACACCCAAAUGACUUUUCUGACAUUAGUGUGGCCCCUUGGGCAGGAAUUCCUUAGCAAACAUGCUUUUUUGCAUGGGGACUGUGGCAUUUUUGCAAAACUUAAGCUUUCAACGCUGGAUUUUAAAGAGAACACUUAAUAAAAUGAAGCCAACAGGACUUAUUUUAAUGAGAGAGACUAUCUGGAUGAGCAACAAAUGUCACAUUGUGUCGUAAGCUGUUGAAGGAGCGAUUUGCGCCAUUUCAAGUGUUAAUUUUGGGUAGCAGGCUUGUAUCGGCUUGAAAGCUGCAAAUUAUUCCUCUCAUCAUGAUAGCAUUAAUUAUUUUAAUUGCAAUGUGUAUGUUUAGAUUGUAAGUGAAGCUUUUAAUAAUAAUUUUCUUGAAAAACAUGA